Molecule: ribosomal RNA, 328 nt
Filed under: uncultured eukaryote
Lineage: Eukaryota
Description: partial 18S ribosomal RNA
Rfam family: Eukaryotic small subunit ribosomal RNA
Source: RNAcentral
CCCUUAGAUGUCCGGGGCUGCACGCGCGCUACACUGAAGGAAUCAGCGUGCUAAAACCAUUGUCGAAAGGCAUUGGUAAACCCAUUAAAAUCCUACGUGAUUGGGAUCGGGAAUUGCAACUAUUUCCCUUGAACGAGGAAUUCCCAGUAAGUGUGGGUCAUAAGCUCGCGUUGAUUACGUCCCUGCCCUUUGUACACACCGCCCGUCGCUGCCCGGGACUGAGCCGUUUCGAGAAAAGCGGGGACUGCUGCUGUCGGGGCUUUCGGGCCUUGGCUUCGGUGGAAACCGCUUUAAUCGCAGUGGCUUGAACCGGGCAAAAGUCGUAACA